GCUUCCCAGCAUUAACAUAGCACUUCUUUCACCGUGAGACCCCUCUGGUCCUAGGUGACUAUCUACUAACAUUCACAAAAAGAAAGUAAUGGGUGGUGGAGAGUAGGAGACAAUUUCCUGUAAGAUUUAUCAGAAUGAAUAGUAUUUUUACUCAACGGAAAAGAUAACAUUCCCUCCUUUCUAGGAAAAGGCUUUGGUAAAUUCUAAGAAUAGUGGAAUCAACUUGAUUUGAUAUGAUUUUGAAAGAUGAAUAUCCUUACCUUCCCUUGUCUGAGUGAUUUAAUGCUUUACAACCAGACUCCGUCCAUUUUCUUCAGAUAUUUGUGAGGAUUA
Molecule: long non-coding RNA, 333 nt
Filed under: Bos taurus (domestic cattle)
Lineage: Eukaryota; Metazoa; Chordata; Mammalia; Artiodactyla; Bovidae
Description: long non-coding RNA NONBTAT019637
Source: RNAcentral